This 484-nucleotide ribosomal RNA is filed under the name uncultured bacterium. RNAcentral describes it as "partial 16S ribosomal RNA". It matches the Rfam family "Bacterial small subunit ribosomal RNA", at positions 30 to 507 of the family's 1533-position model. The record is from RNAcentral.
AUUGAACGCUGGCGGCAGGCCUAACACAUGCAAGUCGAGCGGAUGAAGGGAGCUUGCUCCUGGAUUCAGCGGCGGACGGGUGAGCAAUGCCUAGGAAUCUGCCUGGUAGUGGGGGAUAACGUCCGGAAACGGGCGCUAAUACCGCAUACGUCCUGAGGGAGAAAGUGGGGGAUCUUCGGACCUCACGCUAUCAGAUGAGCCUAGGUCGGAUUAGCUAGUUGGUGGGGUAAAGGCCUACCAAGGCGACGAUCCGUAACUGGUCUGAGAGGAUGAUCAGUCACACUGGAACUGAGACACGGUCCAGACUCCUACGGGAGGCAGCAGUGGGGAAUAUUGGACAAAGGGCGAAAGCCUGAUCCAGCCAUGCCGCGUGUGUGAAGAAGGUCUUCGGAUUGUAAAGCACUUUAAGUUGGGAGGAAGGGCAGUAAGUUAAUACCUUGCUGUUUUGACGUUACCAACAGAAUAAGCACCGGCUAACUUCGUG